Molecule: ribosomal RNA, 531 nt
Filed under: Paraburkholderia sp.
Lineage: Bacteria; Pseudomonadati; Pseudomonadota; Betaproteobacteria; Burkholderiales; Burkholderiaceae
Description: bacterial SSU rRNA
Rfam family: Bacterial small subunit ribosomal RNA
Source: RNAcentral
CCUGGUGGCGAGUGGCGAACGGGUGAGUAAUACAUCGGAACGUGUCCUGUAGUGGGGGAUAGCCCGGCGAAAGCCGGAUUAAUACCGCAUACGCUCUACGGAGGAAAGGGGGGGAUCUUAGGACCUCCCGCUACAGGGGCGGCCGAUGGCAGAUUAGCUAGUUGGUGGGGUAAAGGCCUACCAAGGCGACGAUCUGUAGCUGGUCUGAGAGGACGACCAGCCACACUGGGACUGAGACACGGCCCAGACUCCUACGGGAGGCAGCAGUGGGGAAUUUUGGACAAUGGGCGAAAGCCUGAUCCAGCAAUGCCGCGUGUGUGAAGAAGGCCUUCGGGUUGUAAAGCACUUUUGUCCGGAAAGAAAACCUCCGCCCUAAUAUGGUGGGGGGAUGACGGUACCGGAAGAAUAAGCACCGGCUAACUACGUGCCAGCAGCCGCGGUAAUACNUAGGGUGCAAGCGUUAAUCGGAAUUACUGGGCGUAAAGCGUGCGCAGGCGGUCCGCUAAGACAGAUGUGAAAUCCCCGGGCUUA